RNAcentral lists this ribosomal RNA (694 nucleotides) under Rhodococcus sp. GIC32. RNAcentral's name for it is "bacterial SSU rRNA". It matches the Rfam family "Bacterial small subunit ribosomal RNA", at positions 64 to 776 of the family's 1533-position model. Lineage: Bacteria; Bacillati; Actinomycetota; Actinomycetes; Mycobacteriales; Nocardiaceae. The record is from RNAcentral.
GAGCGGUAAGGCCUUUCGGGGUACACGAGCGGCGAACGGGUGAGUAACACGUGGGUGAUCUGCCCUGCACUUCGGGAUAAGCCUGGGAAACUGGGUCUAAUACCGGAUAUGACCUCCUAUCGCAUGGUGGGUGGUGGAAAGAUUUAUCGGUGCAGGAUGGGCCCGCGGCCUAUCAGCUUGUUGGUGGGGUAAUGGCCUACCAAGGCGACGACGGGUAGCCGACCUGAGAGGGUGACCGGCCACACUGGGACUGAGACACGGCCCAGACUCCUACGGGAGGCAGCAGUGGGGAAUAUUGCACAAUGGGCGAAAGCCUGAUGCAGCGACGCCGCGUGAGGGAUGACGGCCUUCGGGUUGUAAACCUCUUUCAGCAGGGACGAAGCGCAAGUGACGGUACCUGCAGAAGAAGCACCGGCUAACUACGUGCCAGCAGCCGCGGUAAUACGUAGGGUGCAAGCGUUGUCCGGAAUUACUGGGCGUAAAGAGUUCGUAGGCGGUUUGUCGCGUCGUUUGUGAAAACCAGCAGCUCAACUGCUGGCUUGCAGGCGAUACGGGCAGACUUGAGUACUGCAGGGGAGACUGGAAUUCCUGGUGUAGCGGUGAAAUGCGCAGAUAUCAGGAGGAACACCGGGUGGCGAAGGCGGGUCUCUGGGCAGUACUGACGCUGAGGAACGAAGCGUGGGUAGCGAACAGA